RNA transcript from Vollenhovia emeryi, 2176 nucleotides. It is a transcript of the gene named probable ATP-dependent RNA helicase DDX55 homolog, with no coding region annotated. The record is from RefSeq and is a predicted model, not a curated record. The transcript is spliced from 8 exons. NCBI's taxonomy places the organism in Eukaryota, Metazoa, Arthropoda, Insecta, Hymenoptera, Formicidae.
AAUUUUUAUAGAAUACGUAAAAGAAUCGGGCCUUCACAGGACCUUCGUAUAUCCGAGCUUACUACUUUACUGAUGCCAUAUUGCACUGCGCAUGCCCGAAAAGCAGGCAGAUCUAACAACACUGCUCCCCAGAAGAGACCUCCGCGAAUCCUCCAUAAUACACGUGCGUCACGUGUGUGGAGUGGUGUGUGGAGCAUUCGUGACACUCGUUAUUUUGUAAAUAGACGAAAUUAUAUUCCCAAUUCGCGCCGAAUAACAAGCAAGGGGACAAUGAAGACACGGAGAUGGGAACAGCUGGAUGUACGAUUGAGCGAUCCCGUACUGAGGACGCUCAAGCAGUUGCGGUUUUUCCACACGACGCCAGUUCAGGCAGCUUGUAUACCGUUGUUAUUGAACGGCAAGGACGUUGCGGCGGAAGCGGUCACAGGCAGCGGCAAGACACUCGCUUUUCUUAUUCCUCUAUUGGAGAUAUUACAAAGGCGAGCUGAGAAAUGGAAGACCACGGAAGUAGGCGCGAUAGUGGUCAGCCCUACGAGAGAGCUGGCUACGCAGAUUAGUGAAAUUUUAGCCGAGUUCUUGGACAACAUUCCGUCGCUGAGGCAAGUUCUACUGGUGGGCGGUGUGUCGCUCAAGAGAGAUGCAGAGAAACUGAAGGAAGGGACGAAUAUUAUUGUCGCCACACCCGGUAGAUUGCAAGAUAUCUUGUCCAACUGUAAUUCCGUCAACUUGAAUCUAAAGUCUUUGGAAUUUCUCGUGCUGGACGAGGCAGAUAGAUUACUGGACUUGGGAUUCUCGGCGGCCUUGGAUAGUAUUUUAAGCUAUCUGCCGCGUCUCAGGAGAACGGGGCUGUUUUCGGCGACGCAGACGAAGCAACUGGAGCACUUGAUCAGGGCGGGACUGAGAAAUCCAGCGUUGAUCGUUGUGAAGGAAAAGUCCAAUGUCUCCACGCCUGUAAAUUUGAAAAAUAGUUUUGCAAUUGUCCAGCCUGAGUACAAGUUGCCGGUGAUGAUAGAUUUUAUACGCUCGAUAGGAUUUCAAACGAAGUAUAUGAUAUUCUUACCUACCUGCGCGUGCGUGGAUUACUUCAGCCGAGUUAUACAGACAUUAUUGCCCUCGAUCAACGUGCUCGCUCUACACGGUAAAAUGAAAAGCAAGAGGUAUAAAGUGUUCGAUAAAUUUCGACGUGCCGAAAAUGGCAUUUUAAUAUGCACAGACGUAAUGGCUCGUGGCAUCGAUAUAUCGGAAAUAGACUGGGUGUUACAAUACGACCCUCCGUCAAUGGCUAGCAGUUUUGUACACAGGUGCGGUAGAACCGCUAGGAUUGGUAACGAAGGAGACGCAUUGCUGUUUCUUCUGGAGACCGAGAGCGCGUAUGUUGAUUUCAUUAGAAGAAAUCAAAAGGUCGAACUGCGUGAAAUGGAAACAAAAUUGAACGAGGAUACUGUUGACGAAUGCUUGCGGUGUAUGAGGCUGAUGCAACAAAAGGAUCGACUUGUGUUCGACAAAGCCAACCGGGCCUUCGUCUCAUACGUACAAGCGUACAGUAAACACGAGUGCAAUUUGAUUCUUCAGUUAAAAGAUAUCGACUUGGGCAAGCUGGCUAUGGGCUUUGGUCUUUUGAGAAUGCCAAGGAUGCCAGAGCUCAAGGGGAAGAAUGUGUCAUCUUUCGUCGGCCCCGAGAUCGAUGUAAACGCGAUACCUUAUCUGCACGAGCAACGUGAAUUGCGUAGGAUUCAAAGACUGAGCGAAUAUCAGAACACUGGUGUUUGGACGAAUAAUCAUAGGUGCAAACAAAGGCGAACUGAAUCCUGGUCCGAGACCAAAAAGAGGAAACUCGAGAGGCGAGAGAAACGAGGUAAACGGAAGGAGAGGAAGGAAUUGAAACAACAGGUUUCAACGACUCGUAACAAAAAGAAGAGGAAGCGAAUAAAUGAGGAAGAUGUCGAGCAGUUGGCGAAAGAUAUAGCAUUAAUUAAGAAAUUUAAGAAGAAGAAGAUAUCGCAGGAAGAAUUUGACACGGCUUUCGAAAUCUGAAAUUAUUUGGCAUAAUUGCACGAGACAUCUCGAUCGAAAUUCCUUUGAUAAUUUCAUUGAGUUAAGGAUCUCGGAGAUGAUUCGCAUGUUAGAUUCGACACGAAGCUCGAACGUGCAAAUAAACGCAAGACUCGCUUCCGUA